GGGUCAGUAGGUUGGUCGUGCCACCGGUACGUACUGGUCUCACUGAUUCCUCCUUCCUGAAGAACCGUAAUGCCAUUAAUUUGGUGUUGCGGGGAAACAGGACUGUUACUUUGAAAAAAUUAGAGUGUUUAAAGCAAGCUAACGCUUGAAUACCUUAGCAUGGAAUAAUGAAAUAGGACGAUCGAUCCUAUUUUGUUGGUUUCUAGGAUUGACGUA
This 216-nucleotide ribosomal RNA is filed under the name Glomeromycotina sp. RNAcentral describes it as "partial small subunit ribosomal RNA". The stretch from base 40 to 216 matches the Rfam family "Eukaryotic small subunit ribosomal RNA", at positions 686 to 864 of the family's 1831-position model. Lineage: Eukaryota; Fungi; Glomeromycota. The record is from RNAcentral.